CCUACGGGAGGCAGCAGUGAGGAAUAUUGGUCAAUGGACGAGAGUCUGAACCAGCCAAGUCGCGUGAAGGAUGACUGCCCUAUGGGUUGUAAACUUCUUUUAUAAAGGAAUAAAACGAGGCACGUGUGCCUUUUUGCAUGUACUUUAUGCAUAAGGAUCGGCUAACUCCGUGCCAGCAGCCGCGGUAAUACGGAGGAUGCGAGCGUUAUCCGAAUUUAUUGGGUUUAACGGGAGCGUAGAUGGGUUGUUAAGUCAGUUGUGAAAGUUGGGGGCUCAACCGUAAAAGUGCAAUUGAUACUGGCAGUCGUGAGUACAGUUGAGGUAGGUGGAAUGCGUGGUGUAGCGGUGAAAUGCGUAGAUAUCACGAAGAACCCCGAUUGCGAAGGCAGCUUACUAAACUGUGACUGACAUUGAGGCUCGAAAGUGUGGGUAUCAAACAGGAUUAGAUACCCUUGUAGUC
This 460-nucleotide ribosomal RNA is filed under the name uncultured bacterium. RNAcentral describes it as "partial 16S ribosomal RNA". It matches the Rfam family "Bacterial small subunit ribosomal RNA", at positions 338 to 795 of the family's 1533-position model. The record is from RNAcentral.